This is a long non-coding RNA of Dama dama (fallow deer), 2204 nucleotides long. RefSeq lists it as uncharacterized. The record is from RefSeq and is a predicted model, not a curated record. Lineage: Eukaryota; Metazoa; Chordata; Mammalia; Artiodactyla; Cervidae. The transcript has 2 exons.
GGGGGCGCGGCGGGCGGCGGGGCAAUUUCUGAGGUAGCUGCGCGUACCUCGCUCUCCGCUCCCCUCGCCCCGAAACGCCUUUCCCUUCCGGGGUCGGGAGGCGCCGCCCCGGAGCGUACCUUGCGCGCCCUGGGCGACCCCGAGCUCCGGGUUCCGGGCGCGUUUGAGGCGUCUCCGCCGUGCGGGCAACUUUACUGCCCACCCCGCCUCAACCCGCGGCGUGCGCGAUGCUCCGGCGGCCCUACAGUGAAAGGAGACCCCGUUUACCAAACCGCCAAGGACAUAGGUGUCAGGGAGUCUGCGAGACCCUCAUAGAGGGGAUGGCACCCCAUGGGCAACCCACAGACACAAACGAGCAGGCAAAGGUGGGUUUCUGAGCCCAUUGCAGCCCUGCCGGACAUUGGUCCCUGGGACCUGCCUGGACUGGAGGGAAGAGCAGGGGAGCGGGUCAGGGGCCCGCCAGGUGAGCAGCCUCCGUCUGGCUCCUGCGUUUCUCCACCAACACCUAGUCUCUUGCGAAGGGUAGAUUGCAGCCUCAGAAGAAGUAGCUGGGAGGACCCAGGAGGCUCACUACUGGGUGACCAUGACCUUGCCCCUGAUUCGUAUCAGAGGACUAGGGCCAGCUCCGUGAACUUUCCCAUCUUCCCGUCUCCGAAUAACCACACUGGCUCCUUGGCAAAAGGUUGCUGACCAGGUCAAAACCAAUCACAUUGAUGGAUUGUUUUCUCGGGGUCGACUGUGACUCCCCACCUGGGCGCCCCAUCGUCCUCACGCCUGCUCCUUCAAGUGAACAUGAUCUGUGACCUCUACCAAGACAGUACUCAAGCUCUACCCGCCCCCCGCCCCCGCCCCGAGGCUCUGCCCCAAACUGUGGAAGCUAGUCAAGAAGUCUGAAGUCAAGGAAUCUACAUUUCUGCAGAAGACUGAGAGCUGAGCGUGCUCUGUGGUCAAAGCAAAUUUGAGUCUGAAACUAGUUUUUGCAAGGCAUAAGUGGUCUGAGUUCCAGCUGUGCAUGGGACAGUCCUUGUGAGGUGAGUGGGGAGAACGACGGUUCAUCAUUUCAGCUCUGCUAGGAAAGCUUUUCACUUCCCAGUCGGUGAGGACUGGGCCAAGUACCAUGGCCUUGUCUGUUUCUACCCGGAGUUAUCACCUUAACUCUAAUUCCAGCCAGUCUCUUAACUCCACUGCUGUCCCCAGUCCACCUUGUCUUUGUUUGUCCUGGCUUGAUUUCUGCAUUCUCAAGGGAGGUUACCUGGGCUUGGAGCCUUAGUCACCCUUCCUUCUUUCUUGCAUUCCAGAAACCCACUUUGUGACACCUUUGGUGGGAGACUGGUUGCUGCCUGAGAGCCUAGGUCUAAAAAAGUAAGCAAGUCACUGGCCUUGUAAGUUUUCCAACUGCUUAAAAAUAAUAAUGAAAGGAGACCUGGCCCCCUCAUCUUCACCUGUUGAUUUCCAGAAUUAUCACACGAGGUUAUUAUCGUAAACACCAAAUGUUUUUAAAAUGAGGCUGAUCUUUUCAAGACUCCAGACUUCAAGAAGCAUUCCCUAUGUGCCUCUCCAUGGCACUUACACUUCCAUAUAUUAGAUUAUUUUUACUUAAUCUCCAAAAGAUUGCAACCUCUUGGACCACAGGUACUAUUUCACUUGCUCUGUAGACCCCAACAACUACCAUGGCCCUAUAUGUACACUGAAUGAUCAAAUUGCCUUGAAUCUUUGGAAAGCCAGUGGCAGAAUUCUUGAAUUUCCUCAUUUUCAAAGAUCUGCCAAGAAUCUGAAACGUUAGUGUGGUAAUAGAGAAAAAAUGAAAACACUUUGUGAAGUGGAGAAAUACAGAAUCAAUUCUUUAUCUUCCUGAAGAGUUUGAGGGUUUCCCUACUGACAAAAAUUCUAAUUUCUUUCCUUCUGUGUAAAUGUUUUGACUCAAGUUAAAAUGUAAAUAACCAUAGAAAUCUAAUUUUGUUUGGAAUAAUGCAACUAAUUUUCAGUGUGACCACUUUUCACAUCCUUUGGGGCUAGAGAAGUCCGCCUUUCAGCUUUGUUGAGUAAAAACAGUUGCUUCACUUUUAUAAGCCUCAGUUUUAUCAGUGCAAAUGAGGACAAUGGUCCACGAGUUGUUAUCAGGAUUAAAUAAGAUGAUGUAAGUAAAUGCUUAGCAGAGUGUCAGGCACAUGUCUAUUCAAUCAAUAAAUAUUCACUAUGUACUA